UACAUCAUUUUAGUACGCGAUUUUUACGCGUGUGGCGCUGUCGUCGGAAAUUAUUUUGGUCACGUGACAGCUUCAACCGCCAAAAUGAAUGUCAUUUGUCUGCCAACCAUAAUUUUGUUGUAUUUUUGUGCUCGAAUAAAAGGUUUUGAAUCGUUUCAUUUAAUCGAAUUUUUCGUUAAAAAACAUUGUUUUAUUGUUAAUAACGUUUUUCGAGUGCAAUCAAACAUAAAAUAGCUGUAAAACAGUAUUUAUUAGAGUGAAACAAAAUGGCUAAGGUGCACAUAACCAACGUAGUCGUUUUAGACAAUCCUAGUCCAUUUUUAAACCCUUUCCAAUUCGAAUUGACCUUCGAAUGUAUUGAAGAGCUCAAAGAGGAUUUGGAAUGGAAGAUGAUUUACGUCGGAUCGGCGGAAACCGAGGAGCACGACCAGGUUUUGGACACAAUUUACGUUGGGCCUAUUCCGGAAGGUCGACACAUGUUUGUAUUCCAAGCACCACCACCAGACGUAACCCGGAUUCCAGAGAAUGAUGCUUUAGGGGUCACAGUAGUGUUAUUAACGUGUUCGUACAGAGGACAAGAGUUUGUAAGAGUGGGGUACUUCAUAAAUAAUGAAUAUAGUGAAAAUGAACCGGAGUUAAGAGAGAACCCGCCAGCGAAACCUCAGUUUGACAAAGUAGUGAGGAAUAUUCUAGCUUCCGAACCCAGAGUGACUAGGUUUAAGAUAAAUUGGGCGGAACCAGACGCUGCCACUGCUGCUGAUUCAGGGGAUGGUAAUAUAGAGACUCAUGCACCAAGCAACGACUCCUACGGUGCCUUCAACAAUGACAGUCAAAUCAGUGGCAUCUUCCAAGGCAGCUUGAGUGGCUAUGGGGAUAAUUCCAACUCGGUUGUGCAUAUGGAGUGCUGAGAUAGACUAAAUGAAUUAAUGAAUUAAGAUCUGCAGUACUAGGAAAUAAUACAAAUGAUGGACUGACAGAAUGAUUAUGAAGAUAUAGAUUUUGUAUGGAUGUUAUUGUACAAUCUCAAUUUGGGUAAGCAGUGCUUUUGUGCCUCUAUGAUCUGCACACUACUGUCUUUCAGCUAAACCACAAUUUGGUAAAA
Maniola jurtina (meadow brown) is the source of this 1102-nucleotide RNA transcript. It is a transcript of the gene named histone chaperone asf1, with no coding region annotated. Lineage: Eukaryota; Metazoa; Arthropoda; Insecta; Lepidoptera; Nymphalidae. The transcript is spliced from 5 exons. The record is from RefSeq and is a predicted model, not a curated record.